UCCUGGGGCUGUAGUAGGUCCCAAGGGUUGGGCUGUUCGCCCAUUAAAGUGUUACGCGAGCUGGGUUCAGAGCGUCGUGGGACGGUUCGGUCGCUAUCCGUCGGAGGCGUCGGAGAUUUGAGAAGGCCUGUCCUUAGUACGAGAGGGCCGGGGUGGACGUACCUCUGGUGUACCAGUUGUCCUGCCAAGGGCAUGGCUGGGUAGCUA
This 207-nucleotide ribosomal RNA is filed under the name Clostridioides difficile. Its description in RNAcentral is "partial 23S ribosomal RNA". It matches the Rfam family "Bacterial large subunit ribosomal RNA", at positions 2545 to 2751 of the family's 2925-position model. Lineage: Bacteria; Bacillati; Bacillota; Clostridia; Peptostreptococcales; Peptostreptococcaceae. The record is from RNAcentral.